CACGUAGGGUGCGAGCGUUGUCCGGAAUUAUUGGGCGUAAAGAGCUCGUAGGCGGUGUGUCGCGUCGGCCGUGAAAACCUGCAGCUUAACUGUGGGCUUGCGGUCGAUACGGGCAUCACUGGAGUUCGGCAGGGGAGACUGGAAUUCCUGGUGUAGCGGUGAAAUGCGCAGAUAUCAGGAGGAACACCGGUGGCGAAGGCGGCAUCCUGGACCGAGAUUGACGCUGAUGCGCGAAAGCCAGGGGAGCAAACGGG
RNAcentral lists this ribosomal RNA (254 nucleotides) under uncultured bacterium. RNAcentral's name for it is "partial 16S ribosomal RNA". It matches the Rfam family "Bacterial small subunit ribosomal RNA", at positions 524 to 776 of the family's 1533-position model. The record is from RNAcentral.